Molecule: ribosomal RNA, 305 nt
Filed under: uncultured bacterium
Lineage: Bacteria
Description: bacterial SSU rRNA
Rfam family: Bacterial small subunit ribosomal RNA
Source: RNAcentral
CCCUACGGGACGCAGCAGUGGGGGAUAUUGCACAAUGGGGGAAACCCUGAUGCAGCGACGCCGCGUGGGUGAAGAAGCGCCUCGGCGCGUAAACCACUGUCCCCAGGGACGAAGAUGACGGUACCUGGGGAGGAAGCUCCGGCUAACUACGUGCCAGCAGCCGCGGUAAUACGUAGGGAGCAAGCGUUGUCCGGAAUUACUGGGUGUAAAGGGAGCGUAGGCGGGAUGGCAAGUUGGGUGUUAAAUCUACCGGCUCAACUGGUAGUCGCACUCAAAACUGCUAUUCUUGAGUGAAGUAGAGGCAG